RNAcentral lists this ribosomal RNA (253 nucleotides) under uncultured prokaryote. RNAcentral describes it as "partial 16S ribosomal RNA". It matches the Rfam family "Bacterial small subunit ribosomal RNA", at positions 524 to 776 of the family's 1533-position model. The record is from RNAcentral.
UACGUAGGGUGCGAGCGUUAAUCGGAAUUACUGGGCGUAAAGCGUGCGCAGGCGGUUUUGUAAGUCUGUCGUGAAAUCCCCGGGCUCAACCUGGGAAUUGCGAUGGAGACUGCAAGGCUAGAAUCUGGCAGAGGGGGGUAGAAUUCCACGUGUAGCGGUGAAAUGCUUAGAUAUGACAUAGAACACCCAUUGCGAAGGCAGCUCGCUACACUAUUAUUGACGCUGAGGCACGAAAGCGUGGGGAUCAAACAGG